AGAAUCAUUCACAAUGGGCGCAAGCCUGAUGGUGCGACGCCGCGUGGGGGAUGAAGGGCUUCGGUCUGUAAACCCCUGUCAUCUGUGAGUAAGGUCUCGUAUAAAAGCUACGAGAAUUGAUAUUAGCAGAAGAGGAAGGGACGGCUAACUCUGUGCCAGCAGCCGCGGUAAUACAGAGGUCCCAAGCGUUGUUCGGAUUUACUGGGCGUAAAGGGUGCGUAGGCGGUUAGAAAAGUUUGGUGUGAAAUCUUCGGGCUCAACCCGGAAACUGCACUGAAAACUAUUUAACUAGAGGAUCGGAGAGGAGAUUGGAAUUCUCAGUGUAGCAGUGAAAUGCGUAGAUAUUGAGAGGAACACCAGUUGCGAAGGCGGAUCUCUGGACGAUUCCUGACGCUGAGGCACGAAAGCUGGGGGAGCGAAGAGGAUUAGAUACCCUCGUAGUCCCAGCCGUAAACGGUGCGCACUUGCUGUGGGCGGAUUCGACCCCGUCCGUGGCGAAGCUAACGCGUUAAGUGCGCCGCCUGGGGAGUACGGUCGCAAGAUUAAAACUCAAAGAAAUUGACGGGGGCCUGCACAAGCGGUGGAGUAUGUGGCUUAAUUCGAUGCAACGCGAAGAACCUUACCUGGCCUUGACAUGUAGUGGCCCGGGUGCGAAAUCACCCUUUUCUUCGGAACUGCUACACAGGUGCUGCAUGGCUGUCGUCAGCUCGUGUCGUGAGAUGUUGGGUUAAGUCCCGCAACGAGCGCAACCCCCGUGUUCUGUUGCCACCCGGAUGAGAAUCCGGAGCACUCUGGACAGACUGCCUGGUUUCAACCAGGAGGAAGGUGGGGAUGACGUCAAGUCAGUAUGGCCCUUACGGCCAGGGCUGCACACGUACUACAAUGCCCGGUACAAUGGGAAGCGAGACCGCGAGGUGGAGCAAAUCCUAAAAACCGGGCCCAGUUCAGAUUGUAGGCUGCAACUCGCCUACAUGAAGGAGGAAUCGCUAGUAAUGCCGUAUCAGCUACGACGGCGUGAAUACGUUCCCAGGCCUUGUACACACCGCCCGUCACAUCAUGAAAGUCGAUUGUACCCGAAGUCGCCGAGUUAACCGCAAGGAGACAAGCGCCGAAGGUAUGGUUGGUAAUUGGGAUGAAGUCGUAACAAGGUAGCCGUAGGGGAAC
This 1164-nucleotide ribosomal RNA is filed under the name marine metagenome. Its description in RNAcentral is "bacterial SSU rRNA". It matches the Rfam family "Bacterial small subunit ribosomal RNA", at positions 358 to 1511 of the family's 1533-position model. The record is from RNAcentral.